ACUUUUUACCUCAUCUGCCAUUGGCUAGUGACCUCCAACAAUUUACAGGCCAAAAUUAUUUUUCACCAGCCAAAUAAAAAUAUGUGCCUUAUUUGACUUAAAAUAAUUAGCAUAGGUUUUUAUUAUGCAAAUCCAACUUAAGUAUCACUUAAAGAAUACAGUUAUGUACAGAUAAAAUUAGAUUAUCGCUAUUUUAUUAGGUUAUAUUUCAUUUCAAGGUGACUGCUGCAUCAUCAUGUCAUAGUCCAUGUCAA
Sphaeramia orbicularis (orbiculate cardinalfish) is the source of this 254-nucleotide long non-coding RNA. RefSeq lists it as uncharacterized. The record is from RefSeq and is a predicted model, not a curated record. The transcript is spliced from 3 exons. NCBI's taxonomy places the organism in Eukaryota, Metazoa, Chordata, Actinopteri, Kurtiformes, Apogonidae.